Molecule: long non-coding RNA, 263 nt
Organism: Amphimedon queenslandica
Lineage: Eukaryota; Metazoa; Porifera; Demospongiae; Haplosclerida; Niphatidae
Exons: 2
Source: RefSeq, a predicted model, not a curated record
UUUUUGCUACUAGGUCAUUUGUGGGAUGUUUUUCAGAAGUUUGGAUGCAUAGUAUACCUACGACUAGUCAGAGACAUAGUUGUUUGUUUCAACUGUUGUGCUACCAUUUUCCAGAGUGUUAAGUGUUAAUGUGAGAAAGGCAGGGAUGAAGCAGCAAGUGAUGAAGUGUGUAUAUGAAACCUGUAAUGUAUUUACUCCAUGACUUAUAAUAUUUGAACAUAGAUACUUAUCAUUUUCAUUUUUGUUGAUUUCCUUGAAAAGCA